Molecule: ribosomal RNA, 417 nt
Filed under: uncultured bacterium
Lineage: Bacteria
Description: partial 16S ribosomal RNA
Rfam family: Bacterial small subunit ribosomal RNA
Source: RNAcentral
AAUAUUGGACAUUGGGUGAGAGCCUGAUCCAGCCAUCCCGCGUGCAGGAAGAAUGACUUAUGGGUUGUAAACUGCUUUUAUACCGGAAUAAACCACUUUCCGCGUAAGGUGUCGAAGGCACUAUAUGACUAAGCAUCGGCUAACUCCGUGCCAGCAGCAGCGGUAAUACGGAGGAUUCAAGCGUUAUCCGGAUUUAUUGGGUUUAAAGGGUCCGUAGGCGGGCAUAUAAGUCAGAGGUGAAAUCCGACAGCUUAACUGUCGAACUGCCUUUGAAACUGUAUGUCUUGAGUGGGAUUGAAGCAGCUGGAAUGUGUAGUGUAGCGGUGAAAUGCAUAGAUAUUACACAGAACACCGAUAGCGUAGGCAGGUUGCUAAGUCUUUACUGACGCUGAUGGACGAAAGCGUGGGGAGCAAACA